This 4795-nucleotide small RNA is filed under the name Pongo abelii (Sumatran orangutan). RNAcentral describes it as "processed transcript". The record is from RNAcentral. Lineage: Eukaryota; Metazoa; Chordata; Mammalia; Primates; Hominidae.
UAACAAUAGCAGAGCAAGACUGACAACAAUAAUUAAAAUAAGAGAAUAAAGAAGAUGUAGUCAGAGGCCAUUCUGAAUGCAUUCAGAUUCUCAGUGUGUAUGAGGAAGGCUGCCUGUAAUUAAGAGGGAAUCUUUAACCAGUUUCAGUGUAGUAGUGAAAAAGUGCUUCCAUCUGACACUCUCCGCAGUGCUCUGGCAAAGACUUUCCAGGAUGAACAACGUUUCCAGCUGGGAAUUAUGGAUGAUGCUGCAGAGUGCUUUGAAAACCUCCUGAUGAGAAUUCACUUCCACAUUGCUGAUGAAACCAAAGAGGAUAUAUGUACUGCCCAACACUGCAUUUCCCAUCAGAAAUUUGCAAUGACAUUGUUUGAGCAGUGUGUAUGUACUAGCUGUGGUGCCACUUCUGAUCCGCUGCCUUUCAUCCAGAUGGUACAUUAUAUCUCCACCACUUCCCUUUGCAAUCAGGCUAUUUGUAUGCUGGAAAGACGAGAGAAACCUUCACCAAGCAUGUUUGGUGAACUGCUGCAGAAUGCCAGCACCAUGGGGGAUCUGCGGAACUGUCCAAGCAACUGUGGAGAGAGGAUCAGGAUUCGCCGUGUUUUGAUGAAUGCUCCACAGAUUAUCACGAUUGGGCUGGUAUGGGACUCAGACCACUCAGACUUAGCAGAAGAUGUUAUCCACAGCCUGGGAACCUGCCUUAAGCUGGGUGAUCUGUUCUUCAGAGUGACGGAUGACCGGGCCAAGCAAUCUGAACUGUACUUAGUUGGAAUGAUCUGUUACUAUGGCAAACAUUAUUCUACAUUCUUUUUUCAAACAAAGAUUCGCAAAUGGAUGUAUUUUGAUGAUGCUCAUGUCAAGGAGAUUGGGCCCAAAUGGAAGGAUGUGGUGACCAAAUGCAUCAAGGGGCAUUAUCAGCCCCUGCUGCUGCUUUAUGCAGAUCCCCAGGGUACCCCAGUGUCCACCCAGGACCUGCCUCCCCAAGCUGAGUUCCAGUCAUACAGCAGGACGUGCUACGACAGUGAAGAUUCAGGACACCUGACUGAUAGUGAAUGUAAUCAGAAACACACAUCCAAGAAAGGGUCACUGAUAGAGCGCAAGAGGAGCUCUGGUCGGGUUAGGAGGAAAGGCGAUGAGCCCCAGGCCUCGGGAUACCACAGUGAAGGAGAAACACUGAAAGAGAAGCAGGCUCCUAGAAAUGCCUCCAAACCAUCCAGCAGCACCAACAGGCUGAGGGAUUUUAAAGAGACAGUCAGCAAUAUGAUCCAUAACAGACCAUCCCUGGCUUCUCAGACCAAUGUAGGCUCUCACUGUGGGGGCAGGGGAGGAGACCAGCCUGACAAAAAACCUCCUAGGACCCUGCCUUUACACUCUCGUGACUGGGAAAUAGAGAGUACCAGCAGUGAGUCAAAAUCCAGUUCUUCCAGCAAGUAUCGUCCAACAUGGAGACCCAAACGAGAAUCUCUGAAUAUUGACAGUAUCUUUAGUAAGGACAAAAGGAAGCACUGUGGCUAUACCCAGCUUAGCCCCUUUUCUGAGGAUUCAGCUAAAGAAUUUAUACCAGAUGAACCAAGCAAGCCACCUUCUUACGACAUUAAAUUUGGUGGACCAAUCCCUCAGUACAAGCGCUGGGGCCCAGCACGGCCAGGCUCUCACCUUUUAGAGCAGCACCCCCGACUAAUCCAGCGAAUGGAAUCUGGCUAUGAAAGCAGUGAGAGGAACAGCAGCAGCCCUGUCAGCCUGGAUGCAGCCCUGCCUGAGAGUUCAAAUGUCUACAGGGAUCCAAGUGCUAAGAGAUCAGCUGGGUUGGUUCCUUCCUGGCGUCAUAUCCCAAAGUCGCACAGCAGUAGCAUCCUGGAGGUAGACUCCACGGCAUCCAUGGGUGGCUGGACAAAGAGUCAGCCUUUCUCAGGUGAGGAGAUAUCUUCUAAAAGUGAACUGGAUGAAUUGCAGGAAGAGGUGGCCAGGAGGGCGCAGGAACAGGAACUUCGAAGAAAACGGGAGAAGGAGUUAGAGGCAGCAAAAGGGUUUAACCCUCAUCCUAGCCGCUUCAUGGACUUGGAUGAACUGCAGAAUCAGGUGAACAGCCUAUCCCGCUCCAAGUAUUGUUAAGCCAAGAGGCCCAACUGGAAUCCCGCAUGGAUACAGAGUUUGGGGCCAGUUCUUUCUUCCAUUCACCUGCUUCCUGCCAUGAGUCACACUCAUCACUAUCUCCAGAGUCAUCUGCCCCACAGCACAGCUCCCCCAGUAGAUCUGCCUUGAAGCUUCUGACUUCGGUUGAAGUAGACAACAUUGAACCCUCUGCAUUCCACAGGCAAGGUUUACCUAAAACACCAGGGUGGACUGAGAAGAAUUCUCAUCAUAGUUGGGAGCCAUUGGAUGCCCCAGAGAGUAAGCUGCAAGGCUCUAGGUGUGACAACAGCAGUUGCAGCAAGCUCCCUCCACAAGAAGGAAGAGGCAUUGCUCAAGAACAGCUGUUCCAAGAAAAGAGGGAUCCUGCUAACCCCUCCACGGUGAUGCCUGGAAUAGCCACCUCUGAGAGGGGAGAUGAACACAGCCUAGGUUGUAGUCCUUCAAAUUCAUCAGCUCAGCCCAGCCUUCCCCUGUAUAGAAGCUGCCACCCCGUAAUGCCUGUUGCUUCUUCAUUUGUGCUUCACUGUCCUGAUCCUGUGCAGAAAACUAACCAAUGCCUCCAAGGCCAAAGCCUCAAAACUUCAUUGACUUUAAAAGUGGACAGAGGCAGUGAGGAGACCUAUAGGCCAGAGUUUCCCAGCACGAAGGGGCUUGUCCGUUCUCUGGCUGAGCAGUUCCAGAGGAUGCAGGGUGUCUCCAUGAGGGAUAGUACAGGUUUCAAGGAUAGAAGUUUGUCAGGUAGUCUAAGGAAGAACUCUUCCUCUUCUGAUUCUAAGCCUCCUUUCUCACAGGGUCAGGAGAAAGGCCACUGGCCAUGGGCAAACCAACAAUCCUCUCUGGAGGGUGGGGAUAGACCACUUUCCUGGGAAGAGUCCACUGAACAUUCUUCUCUUGCCUUAAACUCUGGGCUGCCUAAUGGUGAAAAUUCUAGGGGAGGACAGCCCAGAUUGGCAGAGCCAGACAUAUACCAAGAGAAGCUGUCCCAAGUGAGAGAUGUUAGGUCUAAGGAUCUGGGCAGCGGUACUGACUUGGGGACUUCCUUGCCUUUGGAUUCCUGGGUGAAUAUCACAAGGUUCUGUGAUUCUCAGCUUAAACAUGGGGCCCCUAGGCCAGGAAUGAAGUCCUCCCCUCAUGAUUCCCAUACGUGUGUAACCUAUCCAGAGAGAAAUCACAUCCUUUUGCAUCCACAUUGGAACCAAGACACAGAGCAGGAGACCUCAGAAUUGGAGUCUCUGUAUCAGGCCAGUCUUCAGGCUUCUCAAGCUGGCUGUUCUGGAUGGGGGCAGCAGGAUACGGCCUGGCACCCACUUAGCCAAACAGGCUCUGCAGAUGGCAUGGGGAGGAGGUUGCACUCAGCCCAUGAUCCUGGUCUCUCAAAGACUCCAACAGCAGAAAUGGAGCAUGGUCUCCAUGAAGCCAGAACAGCUACACCUUGCCGAGGCCUCAGCAGGGAGUGUGGGGAGGAUGAGCAGUACAGUGCAGAGAACUUACGUCGCAUCUCACGCAGUCUCAGUGGCACCGUUGUCUCAGAGAGGGAGGAAGCUCCAGUUUCUUCCCACAGUUUUGAUUCAUCAAACGUGAGGAAGCCUUUGGAAACCGGGCACCGUUGUUCCAGCUCCUCUUCCCUCCCUGUCAUCCAUGACCCUUCUGUGUUUCUCCUCGGUCCCCAACUCUACCUUCCCCAACCACAGUUCCUGUCCCCAGAUGUCCUGAUGCCCAGCGUGGCAGGGGAGCCCCAUAGACUCCCAGGAACUUCAAGGAGUGUCCAGCAGUUUCUGGCUAUGUGUGACAGGGGUGAAACUUCCCAAGGGGCCAAGUACACAGGAAGGACUUUGAACUACCAGAGCCUCCCCCAUCACUCCAGAACAGACAACUCCUGGGCACCCUGGUCAGAGACCAACCAGCAUAUUGGGACCAGACUCCUGACUACUCCAGGGUGCAAUCCUCAGCUAACCUACACUGCCACACUACCAGAAAGAAGCAAGGGCCUUCAGGUUCCUCACGCUCAGUCCUGGAGUGAUCUUUUCCAUUCACCCUCCCACCCUCCCAUUGUUCAUCCUGUGUACCCACCAUCUAGCAGUCUUCAUGUACCCCUGAGGUCAGCUUGGAAUUCAGAUCCUGUUCCAGGGUCCCGAACCCCUGGUCCUCGAAGAGUAGAUAUGCCCCCAGAUGACGACUGGAGGCAAAGCAGUUAUGCCUCCCACUCUGGACACAGGAGGACAGUGGGAGAGGGGUUUCUGUUCGUUCUAUCAGAUGCUCCCAGAAGAGAGCAGAUCAGGGCUAGAGUCCUGCAGCACAGUCAAUGGUAAAGGUUACUCCUUUCCUUUCCUGGAGCUACACCUUUCCUUUCCUGGAGCUACACCUUUCUUUGUAAAACUGUACUGUGGGCCGGGCGCGGUGGCUCACACCUGUAAUCCCAGCACUUUGGGAGGCUGAGGCGGGUGGAUCACGAGGUCAGGAGAUUGAGACCAUCCUGGCCAACAUGGUGAAACCCCGUCUCUACCAAAAUACAAAAAAUUAGCCAGGCAUGACGGUGCGUGCCUGUAGUCCCAACUACUCGGAAGGCUGAGGCAGGAGAAUUGCUUGAACCCGGGAGGCGGAGGUUGCAGUGAGCCGAGAUCGCACCACUGCACUCCAGCUUGGCAAUGGAGUGAGACUCCAUCUC